UACAGAGGGUGCGAGCGUUAAUCGGAAUUACUGGGCGUAAAGCGCACGUAGGUGGCGACGUAAGUCGGGUGUGAAAUCCCCGGGCUCAACCUGGGAAUUGCAUUCGAGACUGCAUUGCUGGAGUACGGAAGAGGAGGGCGGAAUUCUCGGUGUAGCGGUGAAACGCGUAGAUAUCGAGAGGAACACCUGCGGCGAAGGCGGGUUGCUGGGCUUAAACUGACGCUGAGGCACGAAAGUGUGGGGAUCAAACAGG
Molecule: ribosomal RNA, 253 nt
Filed under: uncultured bacterium
Lineage: Bacteria
Description: partial 16S ribosomal RNA
Rfam family: Bacterial small subunit ribosomal RNA
Source: RNAcentral